AAUAGAAGAAACUAAGAUAAAGAAUUGAAAAGAAGAAAAGAAACUCUGUUAUUGAUACUAAGGUCUUCCUUCAAGCUUCCACAAAUCUACUCUCUUGAGUCUCUUUCUUUUUUUCAAAUUUUGAGAGAAAAAUGAGUGUUUAAAAACCCCCAAAUCUAUUCUUCUUCUUCUCCUCCUAGUAAAACCCCUCUAACUGACUCUUAUCUUGGCCUUUCUUAUCCUUUUGAUGAAUUGUCAAAGGCUGAUUGAGCAAAAAAGAGUUGAAAAUAACAUUUUCCAGGCAUAUUGUGCGAUUCUAAUGAUUCUCCUAGGCAGGUCGUGCGCCUUUUUACAUCUCCCAAGCAGGCUGUGCGACUUGGCCGAAUUUCACAAGCAAGUCAUGAGAAACAUUGUCAAAAAAUGACCUCACAAUUUUUCUCUUUUCUCUUUUCUUGACCUUGUUGCAAGAUUUCUUCAAUUCUCAUGGCCAGAGUGUGAGAUAUACUGUUUGAAAUACUCAAUUUAACCUUCAUAAUUUCUUUUUCUCCAAUUUUCAACAUUAGACGGCUCUUUUAACUCAAUCCUUGCAAUGAAAUAAUAAAAACUAAUUAAAUGAAAUAAAAUAAAUU
Molecule: unclassified non-coding RNA, 608 nt
Filed under: Hevea brasiliensis (rubber tree)
Lineage: Eukaryota; Viridiplantae; Streptophyta; Magnoliopsida; Malpighiales; Euphorbiaceae
Source: RNAcentral